This 279-nucleotide ribosomal RNA is filed under the name uncultured bacterium. Its description in RNAcentral is "partial 16S ribosomal RNA". It matches the Rfam family "Bacterial small subunit ribosomal RNA", at positions 506 to 784 of the family's 1533-position model. The record is from RNAcentral.
UGCCAGCCGCCGCGGUAAUACGGAGGGUGCAAGCGUUAAUCGGAAUUACUGGGCGUAAAGCGCGCGUAGGUGGUUCAGUCAGUCAGAUGUGAAAGCCCCGGGCUUAACCUGGGAAUUGCAUUCGAUACUGGUCAGCUAGAGUACAGUAGAGGCAAGUGGAAUUUCCUGUGUAGCGGUGAAAUGCGUAGAUAUAGGAAGGAACAUCAGUGGCGAAGGCGACUUGCUGGACUGAUACUGACGCUGAGGAGCGAAAGCGUGGGGAGCGAACGGGAUUAGAUA